GUAGUCCCAACCUUAAACGGUGUGCAUUUGGUGUAGGGGUGUUGACCCCCCUGUGCCGGAGCGAACGCGUUAAAUGCACCGCCUGGGGAGUACGGUCGCAAGACUAAAACUCAAAGAAAUUGACGGGGGCCCGCACAAGCGGAGGAGCAUGUGGCUUAAUUCGAUGCAACGCGAAGAACCUUACCAGGGCUUGACAUGUAACUGCAUUCCCGCUGAAAGGCGGGAAGCCUUCGAGGGUGUUACACAGGUGCUGCAUGGCUGUCGUCAGUUCGUGCCGUGAGGUGUUGGGUUAAGUCCCGCAACGAACGCAACCCCUAUGUUUAGUUGCCACCCGGCGUAAGUCGGAGCACUCUAGACAGACUGCCCUUAGUGGAGGAAGGUGGGGACGACGUCAAGUCAGUAUGGCCUUUAUGCCCUGGGCCGCACACGUGCUACAAUGGCAGGUACAAUGGGACGCAAGACCGCGAGGUGGAGCAAAUCCAUAAAGCCUGCCCCAGUUCGGAUUGGAGUCUGCAAUUCGACUCCAUGAAGUCGGAUUCGCUAGUAAUGGCGCAUCAGCUACGGCGCCGUGAAUA
RNAcentral lists this ribosomal RNA (575 nucleotides) under uncultured Verrucomicrobiota bacterium. RNAcentral describes it as "bacterial SSU rRNA". It matches the Rfam family "Bacterial small subunit ribosomal RNA", at positions 790 to 1368 of the family's 1533-position model. Lineage: Bacteria; Pseudomonadati; Verrucomicrobiota. The record is from RNAcentral.